This 318-nucleotide ribosomal RNA is filed under the name uncultured bacterium. RNAcentral's name for it is "bacterial SSU rRNA". It matches the Rfam family "Bacterial small subunit ribosomal RNA", at positions 29 to 363 of the family's 1533-position model. The record is from RNAcentral.
AAUGAACGUUGGCGGCGUGGAUUAGGCAUGCAAGUCGAGCGGAAAGGCCCGCAAGGGCACUCGAGCGGCGUAAGGGACAGUAAUGUGUAGGUACGUACCCCUGGGUCUAGGAUAGCUGCGGGAAACUGCAAUUAAUACUAGAUGAUGUCUCCGGACCAAAGGUGUGAUUCCACCCAGGGAGCGGCCUACAUCCUAUUAGCUAGUUGGUGAGGUGACGGCUCACCAAGGCGAAGAUGGGUAGCAGGUGUGAGAGCACGACCUGCGUCACUGGGACUGAGACACUGCCCAGACACCUACGGGUGGCUGCAGUCGAGAAAU